Molecule: ribosomal RNA, 497 nt
Filed under: uncultured bacterium
Lineage: Bacteria
Description: partial 16S ribosomal RNA
Rfam family: Bacterial small subunit ribosomal RNA
Source: RNAcentral
GAUGAACGCUGGCGGCGUGCCUAAUACAUGCAAGUCGAGCGAACAGACGAGGAGCUUGCUCCUCUGACGUUAGCGGCGGACGGGUGAGUAACACGGGGAUAACCUACCUAUAAGACUGGGAUAACUUCGGGAAACCGGAGCUAAUACCGGAUAAUAUAUUGAACCGCAUGGUUCAAUAGUGAAAGACGGUUUUGCUGUCACUUAUAGAAGGAUCCGCGCCGCAUUAGCUAGUUGGUAAGGUAACGGCUUACCAAGGCAACGAUGCGUAGCCGACCUGAGAGGGUGAUCGGCCACACUGGAACUGAGACACGGUCCAGACUCCUACGGGAGGCAGCAGUAGGGAAUCUUCCGCAAUGGGCGAAAGCCUGACGGAGCAACGCCGCGUGAGUGAUGAAGGUCUUCGGAUCGUAAAACUCUGUUAUUAGGGAAGAACAAAUGUGUAAGUAACUAUGCACGUCUUGACGGUACCUAAUCAGAAAGCCACGGCUAACUACGUG